Portunus trituberculatus (swimming crab) is the source of this 1983-nucleotide RNA transcript. RefSeq lists it as uncharacterized. The record is from RefSeq and is a predicted model, not a curated record. The transcript has 10 exons. Lineage: Eukaryota; Metazoa; Arthropoda; Malacostraca; Decapoda; Portunidae.
AAUUAAGGUAAGUUAUAGGUAUUUAUGAAAUAAUGAGAAAUUGAUUGAAUCAAUUGAUUGAUUGAUUAAUUGUUGGUUGCUUGCAGAAAAGAGGUGAAGCACUGGCAGUCUAUUUACACACCAGCAUUGCAGUAGUUUCUGAAGACAUGGGAGUCUUCAGUGGAGUCUGCCUACUAAAAAUUGCUGGUUCAUUAAGACCACUUACGUAUACUCUGAGGAUUAUCAAGAUUGUCCCUCUUUUGUGGUGCAUCAGCAUGAUUUGGAUUUGGAUGGCUACUUGCAUGCUGAAGAGAAUUGCUGCUGCAAGAUUCUCAGUGGCCCAGGAGGAUUCACCCAACUAUGAUUGUCCCUCUUUUGUGGUGCAUCAGCAUGAUUUGGAUUUGGGUGACUACUUGCAUGCUGAAGAGAAUUGCUGCUGCAAGAUUCUUAAGAGUGGCCCAGGAAGAUUCACCCAACUAUGGUUUGUGGAUAGGACAAUGAUACAUACUGGUGGUCCUCUUCAGGUUUUCAAGAUGGCUACUUGCAUGCUGAAGAGAAUUGCUGCUGCAAGAUUCUCAGUGGCCCAGGAGGAUUCACCCAACUAUGGUUUGUUGGAUGGACAAUGAUACAUACUGGUGGUCCUCUUCAUGUUUUCAUUGUUAGUAUACAAGUAUUUCCCGUUUGCAGUUUCUUUGUGUACAUUCAUUAUUAGUGACUUCAGUAAAAUUAAUUUAAUUCAAAACUUGCCAUCUCUUAAGGUUAAUUUAUUGACAAUCUAUGUAAUAAAGAUCCUCCCUUUCUAAAUCUGUGUAAUUUCAGGUUCCUGUGGAAUUGCUGCUAACAGCCAUUUUUGGAAGGUGCGUUCAAUGCAUACCCGAUUUAUUUAUUGAAGUAAUGACGACAUGCAAAGCUACUUUGAUAGUGAUUUGAUGUAAGUACCAGAUAGUCAAACAUGGUGUGUUGGAGCCCACUGUCAUUGUUUUUUACUAAUAUUCUGGUGAAUGGUAGAUUAACUAGUAAAUUCUUUCUUGGCAUUCCUUGUGUAUGCUUUUUAGGGUCGGAAGUUUAUGGGGCCCAGUAUUAUAUUGCGUAUAUUAGUUGUUAUUGAUGUAUAAUGCAUAUACAAUUUUCCAAAGUUAUGAUGAAACCCUUUUUCAGAGCAUUGGGAUAUGAGAGACCAUGAUUGUUGUUGAUAUCUGAUCAUUACUUAAUUUUAACUCAUGAUUUGAUAUAUGUAACAUACUAAAGAAUGGCAUCUUUACAGGACAGUCUCUAAGGAUUGAUUGAAUCUUCCAAAACUUUGUAACCCCUGUUUUAUAAGAAACACCAAGUACUGUUUCUUUGGUACUUGCAGCCCAACAGCAGGACUGGUGUAAUCCUGUUGCAUCAUACCCAUUUAAGAAGUUUGACCAGGCUAUACAAAUCUGGGGUAUUCCUUGUGGGGUCCACAGGUUAUAUCCCAAUCCUGUUACCAGUCUUGCACUCCAAACUUCAUCCGAUUCAUUCCCUCUUUAAAUUGUCUCACGAACCAGAUUAUAUGUGUGAAGGCUUUCAAAUCGAAAACUUGUGUUUUUAAUUAUUGGAUAUUUCCUAACAUGCCUUUCCUGAUCAAUAGUGUUCAUAUAGCAGUAAUCUGUUAUUCUCAUACUCUAGUUUCAUAUGUAGUCUGAUUAACCCCUUCAGUACCAGGACAUGUUUUCAUAUCCAUUCUGAUUAAUAUAUAGCUAUUUUAUAAUGCUUCAAAAAACUUGUGUAGUUGUAGGAUUAAAAUAGUAAAGACUAGCAAUUAAUCUUCAGACCUUCAUAGGCCCUUCAUAAUGCACAUAAUCAUACCUCAAAAUCAAGGUAAAACUAGUCCAAUACUGAAGUGGUCAAUGAGUCUUCUGUUCUUAUUUAAUAGAUAGCUUUACAAGAGGCAAACACCAAACAUUUAUGGAAAUUGCUAGCUAGCUUACAUGAUGGAACAAAUGCCACAAUGUGUAAAGAAUAAAAUGCUUACUACAA